GUGGGGAAUAUUGCGCAAUGGGCGAAAGCCUGACGCAGCCACGCCGUGUGUGUGAUGAAGGCCUUCGGGUCGUAAAGCACUGUCAGGAGGAGAGAUGGCUUCGGUAGUUAAUAACUGCCGGAGUUGACGGUACCUCCAAAGGAAGCACCGGCUAACUCUGUGCCAGCAGCCGCGGUAAGACAGAGGGUGCAAGCGUUGUUCGGAAUCAUUGGGCGUAAAGCGCACGUAGGCGGUUUUGUAAGUCGGGUGUGAAAGCCCAGGGCUCAACCCUGGAAGUGCAUCCGAAACUGCAUGACUUGAGUCCCGGAGAGGGUGGUGGAAUUCCUGGUGUAGAGGUGAAAUUCGUAGAUAUCAGGAGGAACACCGGUGGCGAAGGCGACCACCUGGACGGAGACUGACGCUGAGGUGCGAAAGCGUGGGGAGCAAACAGG
This 431-nucleotide ribosomal RNA is filed under the name uncultured bacterium. RNAcentral's name for it is "bacterial SSU rRNA". It matches the Rfam family "Bacterial small subunit ribosomal RNA", at positions 354 to 776 of the family's 1533-position model. The record is from RNAcentral.